RNAcentral lists this ribosomal RNA (922 nucleotides) under Streptococcus sp. C7I1. Its description in RNAcentral is "bacterial SSU rRNA". It matches the Rfam family "Bacterial small subunit ribosomal RNA", at positions 97 to 1001 of the family's 1533-position model. Lineage: Bacteria; Bacillati; Bacillota; Bacilli; Lactobacillales; Streptococcaceae. The record is from RNAcentral.
UGCGAACGGGUGAGUAACGCGUAGGUAACCUGCCUACUAGCGGGGGAUAACUAUUGGAAACGAUAGCUAAUACCGCAUAACAGCAUUUAACCCAUGUUAGAUGCUUGAAAGGAGCAAUUGCUUCACUAGUAGAUGGACCUGCGUUGUAUUAGCUAGUUGGUGAGGUAACGGCUCACCAAGGCGACGAUACAUAGCCGACCUGAGAGGGUGAUCGGCCACACUGGGACUGAGACACGGCCCAGACUCCUACGGGAGGCAGCAGUAGGGAAUCUUCGGCAAUGGGGGCAACCCUGACCGAGCAACGCCGCGUGAGUGAAGAAGGUUUUCGGAUCGUAAAGCUCUGUUGUAAGAGAAGAACGUGUGUGAGAGUGGAAAGUUCACACAGUGACGGUAACUUACCAGAAAGGGACGGCUAACUACGUGCCAGCAGCCGCGGUAAUACGUAGGUCCCGAGCGUUGUCCGGAUUUAUUGGGCGUAAAGCGAGCGCAGGCGGUUUAAUAAGUCUGAAGUUAAAGGCAGUGGCUUAACCAUUGUUCGCUUUGGAAACUGUUAGACUUGAGUGCAGAAGGGGAGAGUGGAAUUCCAUGUGUAGCGGUGAAAUGCGUAGAUAUAUGGAGGAACACCGGUGGCGAAAGCGGCUCUCUGGUCUGUAACUGACGCUGAGGCUCGAAAGCGUGGGGGAGCAAACAGGAUUAGAUACCCUGGUAGUCCACGCCCGUAAACGAUGAGUGCUAGGUGUUAGGCCCUCUCCGGGGGCUUAGUGCCGCAGCUAACGCAUUAAGCACUCUCGCCUGGGGAGUACGACCGCACAGGUUGAAACUCAAAGGAAUUGACGGGGGCCCGCACAAGCGGUGGAGCAUGUGGUUUAUUUCGAAGCAACGCGAAGAACCUUACCAGGUCUUGACAUCCCGAUGCUAUUCC